RNAcentral lists this ribosomal RNA (474 nucleotides) under uncultured Prochlorococcus sp. Its description in RNAcentral is "bacterial SSU rRNA". It matches the Rfam family "Bacterial small subunit ribosomal RNA", at positions 582 to 1050 of the family's 1533-position model. Lineage: Bacteria; Bacillati; Cyanobacteriota; Cyanophyceae; Synechococcales; Prochlorococcaceae. The record is from RNAcentral.
AGAAAGUCUGCUGUUAAAACGUGGAGCUUAACUCCAUCAUGGCAGUGGAAACUGUUGGGCUUGAGUGUGGUAGGGGCAGAGGGAAUUCCGGUGUAGCGGUGAAAUGCGUAGAUAUCGGGAAGAACACCAGUGGCGAAGGCGCUCUGCUGGGCCAUCACUGACGCUCAUGGACGAAAGCCAGGGGAGCGAAAGGGAUUAGAUGCCCCUGUAGUCCUGGCCGUAAACGAUGAACACUAGGUGUCGGGGGAAUCGACCCCCUCGGUGUCGUAGCCAACGCGUUAAGUGUUCCGCCUGGGGAGUACGCACGCAAGUGUGAAACUCAAAGGAAUUGACGGGGGCCCGCACAAGCGGUGGAGUAUGUGGUUUAAUUCGAGGCUACGCGAAGAACCUUAUCCUAGUCUUGACAUGUAUGGAUUAACCCUGUGAAAGCAGGGCCACGCCUUCGGGUGGAACAUACACAGGUGCUGCAUGGCU